Oryctolagus cuniculus (rabbit) is the source of this 10475-nucleotide non-coding RNA. NCBI's taxonomy places the organism in Eukaryota, Metazoa, Chordata, Mammalia, Lagomorpha, Leporidae. The record is from RefSeq and is a predicted model, not a curated record.
UAGCCACGACGGCUGGAGCUGGGCCACUCUGAAGCCUGGAGCCAGGAGCUUCUUCAGGGUCUCCCUCACAGGUGCAGAGGCCUGAGGACUGGGCCAUCUUCUACUGCUUUCCCAGGCCAUAGCAUAGAGCUUAUUUGGAAGUGGAGCAGCCAGAAUUCAAAUCGGUGCCCAUAUGAGAUGCUGGCACUGCAGGCGGCGGCUUUACCCGCUAUGCCACAGUGCCAGCCCCCCUGCCCUAUCCUUAUUUGAGCCUCUCAUCAGCUGAGUCUUAUGGGAGCCACUAGAGAUAAGAAGGAUAACCAGUGAUGACAGGAAGAUGGAAUUUCUAAAGGUUGAGAACUUAGAUGUGGACGAAAGGAAGAAGCAGAUGGUUCAGGCGUGUUUAUUGCAGAUUCCAGUUUUAAUAUUGGAGCAAGCAUUUGGCCUAACACGUAAGAUCAGUUAAGAUGCUCAUGUUCUGUAUCAGAGGGUCUGGUUUUCAUCAGACCCCGGGGGAGAGCAGAUGAUGGCCCGAGGAACUGGGUCCCUGCCAUCCAUGUGGAUCUGGAUUGACUUCCUGAUUCCCUGGCCCUGGCCCAACCCCCAACCAUUGUGGACAUUUUGGGUAUAAACCAGCAGAUGGGAGCUCUCUCUGUCUCUCAUAUCUCUAGCUCUAUUUCUGUCCUUCUCAAAUAAAUAUGUAUAAGUAAAAAAUAAAAGCUUUUCUAUAUCCAUGAAACUGCUGCCUAAAAUUCUACCUGUACCUGCUAUUAAGGGUCCAUGGUUUGUGCACAGACUUGGGAUGAAUGAAUACAAUCAAAGGCUUUUAGCAUGGAGUCAGGAUCAGCUGUGGCCCUCAGCAUUGGUGCAUAUUAGAAUCACCUGUGAUAUCACUCCAGUCAACAGAAUGAAAAUAUUUGAGGGUGACUCCUAUGCAUCUUUAAAUAUCCCAGCAUUGUUAUUUUAUUAUUAUUAUUAAGUACAGUGAAGUUAGAGAACCAAGGAAAUACACUGAAGGAAUGGAGUUUUGAUUUAGGUCCGGGACAAGGCUGGGAACAGAUGGGGCAUGGAGCUACUACAACCCAGAAAAAGGGACACUCUCCCUCCAGUAUGCACAGAGUGGUUAUGUGAGCUAACGUGACCUGGGGAUUGUGUAGGAGUAGGACUCAGCCCAUAUCUUCAAGGGGUUUGUAAAUAAAGGCUCCGUGGAGGAAGUGCUAAGAUGGGCCUUGCACACAGACUUAGAUGUAGCUGAUGCAUGUAGGCAAGGAAAGAGCACAGUGACUGAGCACCCUGCUGAACCUGAUGCCCAGUGUAAACAGGCCCCUGGCCAAUGGGUGCCAGAACCACUCCCGGCAUUACCCACUCCACCUACCUAAGGAAAGAAAACUGCUUCCCCCUUCCUCUUUCCAUGUAACCAAGUCGUUAUAGCUGUCAUUUCAUAGGCAGAAAAUAUCCUGUAAUUAUGAGAAACUAGAAUAAGCCCUCCCCUUUUGAGCGACAGAUUUUUCCCAUUUUUAUGUAGUUAUGUCACUAAUAAGGUUAGUGUUUGCAAAUUAUUUUUUUCUGUUUUGUUAUAUUUUCUUGGAAAUAUAUUAACAAAAGAGUAGACCAGUAAUUCUGGUAAGAUUUCACAUUCGUUCUAAACUCACCUGAAUGUGAAAAGUCCUUGGUGUUUAUUUUGUAAAUCAAGAUAAAACAAAUUGGGUGGAUUUAAUCGCAGUGUAGCUAGGGUUGCCUUAUAAAGAGGAAAUUAAAAUCCCCGUCUCUCCCUCUCAUUUCCUCCCUUGUGAGCAUGUGUGGGGCACACACACACACACACACACUGAGAAGAGAUGUGUAAUAUCCAGUUCUAUAUCAGAGUACACUUGGGAUGGAACCGUUUUCGUGCAGGAGUUGAGUCCUUGUGGAGUGACUGAACUUGCAAAAUGCCUGCGUUCCAUUGUAUCUCCUUGGGGACAGGACUCUCUGUUGUGUCCAAAGACAAAAUUACCACAGAUUUAGCUGAAAAAUCUUAAUUGGCUUUUAUUUGUGACUGUGGAGUUAGGCAGCCUCUCAUUGUACAAAACAGAAGAGUAUUCCAAUGAGCGAGCAUAGGAGGCAGGUUUGAUAGACGGGGAAGUGCUGAGAAGACCAGAAAAGCAGACUGGUCAUUUCCAAAUUACUUUCCUUGGGAGGAUUAAGGCAGAGGGACUUCCUUAUCGCACGAGCUAAAAUUAACUUGUUCGGGGACUUGCCUGUUAUCUCUCUCUUCCGGUUUCCUGCAGUCUUAUGAACAACCUCGUUUUGGCAUGGUCACGUGGGGCUUCAGCAGGCAUGACUCGAUUGUGGUUUGAUCUGUUGCACUGAGUGCAGAAGCUCUGUGCAAACCAGCGGCCUCCUGUGCAGCCUAACAGGUGUCGAAAAUGGCAUUAGUCAAGUUAUAACUGGAAGAACCUAUCAUACAUAGAAAAGAACAGGGCCGGGCUGGUGCCGUGGCUCAAUAGGCUAUUCCUCCGCCUUGUGGCGCCGGCACACCGGGUUCUAGUCCCGGUCAGGGCGCCGGAUUCUGUCCUGGUUGCCCCUCUUCCAGGACAGCUCUCUGCUAUGGCCCGAGAGUGCAGUGGAGGAUGAGGGCCCUGCACCCCAUGGGAGACCAGGAGAAGCACCUGGUUCCUGGCUUCGGAUCAGCGUGCCGGCCGCGGCAGCCAUUGGAGGGGGAACCAACAGCAAAGUGAAGACCUUUCUCUCUGUCUCUCUCUCUCUCUCUCACUAUCCACUCUGCCUGUCAAAAUUUAAAAAAAAAAAAGAAAGAAAAGAACAGGGCCAUGAACUUGAACUGAAAGAUGGCACGAGGUGUGGGCAUCACAGCAGCUACAGCGUGGCUUAUGGAAGCUGCCGGAGAGAGUCCUUCUGCCCUUCUCAUGAUUGACAAUCAUAUUCUUUUUUUUUUUUUUUUUUUUAAGGCAAACAGAGCUAGGGUAAUCUGAUUUGUCUAUAGCUGGAUGGUUCAAUUUCAUUGACUCCUGCUGAUAAGGACAAAAGCUUAUGUCUGUGUUUUGGUUGUGCUCAGGUUAGCUGUAAUCAGAGUUACUUAGGUUUCCUUUACGUGGCUAUAGGCAGUUAGCCUUGGGAAUCCACUGUGGCUUCCAUUUCUAUCUACCAUUGUUUUUUUUUUUAAAGAUUUAUUUAUUGAAAGAGUUACACAGAGAGAGGAGAGGCAGAGAGAGAGAGAGAGAGAGGUCUUCCAUCCACUGGUUCACUCCCCAGAUGGCCACAACGGCCAGAGCUGUGCAGAUUAAAGCCAGGAGCCAGGAGCUUCUUCAAGUCUCCCGCAGGUGCAGGGGCCCAAGGACUUGGGCCAUCUUCUACUGCUUUCCCAGGCCACAGCAAAGAGCUUCUACCAUUGUUUUAACACUAGUCACCCUCAGAGAGAUUCUCGUCCUCAAAUCACCUCCAGGGAUGAUGGCUCCUGUCUUGUCUGUGGAGUUGUCCCUAGUUGGGUCUGUACUUGGAAGAGCCUUCCCCAAGCUAUGAUGGCUGUGGGGGUGAAAGGACAUUCAGAUCCCUGGGAAACCAGCAUCCAGCACCACAAUCCAGGCAAGGAUUUAAAAUCACAUUUAAAAGUGCUCCAGAAGGGGCCGGUGCUGUGGCAUAGUGGGUAAAGCUGCUGCCUUCAGUGCUAGCAUCCCAUAUGGGUGCCGGUUCGAGUCCUGGCUGCUCCACUUUUUUUUUUUUAAAGAUUUUUUAUUUAUUUAUUUAUUUGAGAGGUAGAGUUACAGUGAGAGGGAGAGACAGAAAGAAAGGUCUUCCUUCCAUUGGUUCACUCCCCAAAUGGCCGCUACGGCCGGUGCACUGCGCCAAUCUGAAGCCAGGAGCCAGGUGGUUCUUCCCAGUUUCCCACGCGGGUGCAGGUGCCCAAGCACUUGGGCCAUCCUCCACUGCCUUCCCAGGCCACAGCAGAGAGCUGGAAGAGGAGCAACCGGGACUAGAACCCGGUGCCCAUAUGGGAUGCUGGCGCCGCAGGCAGAAGAUUAGACAAGUGAGCCACUUUGCCAGCCCCUGCUCCACUUCUGAUCCAGCUCUCUGCUCUGGCCUGGGAAAGCAAUAGAAGAUGGCCCAAGUCCUUGGGCCCCUGCACCCAUGUAGGAAACCCAGAAGAAGCUCUGGCUCCUGGCUCCUGAUCGGCACAGCUCCAGCCAUGGCAUUCAUCUGGAGAGUGAACCAGCAGGUGGAUGACUUCUCUCUCUCUCUCUCUCUCUCUCCCUCUCUCUGUAACUCUGCCUUUCAAAUAAAUCUUUUUAAAAAAUUGCUCCAGAAAAAUGUAAUUUUGCAAGUUUGACCCUUGCAGUUUGGAUGAUCCACCAUGCCCCAGAUACUGAUUAACUGAAAGGUCCCCCUUACAGCUGUAAGCGCUGACACAGAGCCGUUGGAUGUGCUUCCUAAAGCAGAUUAGUUCCUUGUGAGACACUGUCCCUGAGGUGCUGUUUGAUGCCUUCAGGUAGAUCUUUCAGGUCCUCUCUCUAGCAAAGCUGCUAUCGCAGUAUCCUCAUUAUCACCUUAUUUGAAAACUUGAGGCUUCUAAAGCAGGAUGAAUUAGCUUAACCCCACCAGACAGAAACCCGCAGGCAAUGCAGCAGGGAGGUACCAGUGGUGCCCCUAUCUGGGUCAGACCCGCUGCCAGCCCGACUGGCUCCUGGGGAAACGUGCAUCCCGACUGGAGGCAGAUUGGCUAAGCCCCAUGCAGCUGCCACCACAGCCUCUCCCUGCUGCUCACAGCUUUGACUGUGCAUGUGUGGUGAAGGUUUCUCGUUAUGGCGCUCUCAGCCUCCCCAGCUGCUCUCCUCUAGUUCACCUGCCACUGCCCCUAGGCCUAGUGCUGGGGGACGGAACUGCCCUACGCCCCUGUCCUCGGCCUUAUGUCCUGCAUCUCUGGAGUUCCUUGCAGCCUCUGCUCGGGCCAUUCCUGCCCAAGCCAGGCUCCCAGGCGUUUAAUUUUCCUCCCUACCUUCCUCCCAAUUUCAGAUGGACUUAGCCUUUUUUAUUUUUUAUUUUUUAUUAAUUAAUUUAAUGCUAAAAAUGAAAUGUUUUGGAGGAGAAAUCACCAGAGCAUUAUUUUUUUUACCAAAGUUUCCCAGGCAUUGUACAGAAAUCUAAGGUUAAAUCAGCAUCUGGAUUAAAGUUGGCUGAAAUGCAGCAAAACCAAGCCAUAAAUAUUUGCUGUAAUAUAAAGGAAAUACUAAUAAUUUUGGGAGAUUUGACAUAAAAGUAGGAUAGAAAUCUAAAUUUGUGUUGGUAAGGGCUGAAUUCUUAGUUAUUACAUUAAGGUACUUACUGUCUAGCAUGAAUUUUUUCUGUCUAUUCUCAUUCCUAACUAGCAAUUCACACUUACAUGUAUAUCAGUGGAAGUGUAUUCUGAGAUGGUUUUACCCUUCAUGGUUGCACAUAAAAUUUGUCUUCCAAGUUUAAAAAAAAUUUUUUUUUAUUUGAGGGGCAGAUAGAGACAGGGUACUCCCAUUGGUUCAUUCACUUCCCAGAUACAGUGGCUAGGGCUGGGCCUGGCAGAAAACAAGAGUCAAGCAUGUAAUUCAGGUCUCCCACAUGCUAUCCAGGACUCCCAUGUGCAAUCCUGGUCUCCCACAUGUCAUCCAGGUCUCCCACGUGUCAUCCAGGUCUCCCAUGUGUAAUCCAGGUCUCUCAUGUGUCAUCCAGGUCUCCCACAUGUCAUCCAGGUCUCCCACGUGCAAUCCUGGUCUCCCAUGUGUCAUCCUGGUCUCCCAUGUGUAAUCCAGGUCUCUCAUGUGUCAUCUAGGUCUCCCACGUGUCAUCCAGGUCUCCCACGUGUAAACCAGGUCUCCCCCAUGUAACCCAGGUCUCCCAUGUACCAUCCAAGUCUUCUACAUGUCAUCCAAGUCUCCCACAUGUCAUCCAGGCCUCCCACAUGUAAUCCAGGUCUUUCAAUGACAUGAGCCAUCACUGCUGCCUCCCAGGCUCUGCAUUAGCAGGAAGCGGGGGUCAGGAGCUGGAAGCUGGUAUGGAACCUAGCCAUUCCAACAUGCACUCUAGGCCAGUGCCUGCUCCUAUCUUUUGGUCAUGUUAUUACUGGCCCUUAGAUUCCACAAGGCUUAGUACUUCCUCAACCCUGCCCCCAUGGGAUGUUUUUCUUUGUUCAAACUGUUCAAAAAGUGUUAAUAUUUUCAUUUCGCUUAUUUUUAAAAAUGAGUUAAUGUUUUAUUUAUUUGAACGGCAGAGAGACAGAGACUGAAAAAGAGAGAUCUGCUUUCUGCUGGGUCACUUCCCAAAUGCUUGCAACAGCUGGCACUGGGCCAGGCCAAAGCCAGGAGCCAGGAGCUCCAUCCGGGUCUCCCGUGUGGGCACCAGGAGCCAAAGUACCUGAGCCAGAUCUGCUGCCUUCCAGGGUGCACAUGAACAGGAAGCUAGAGUCAGAGGCAGAGGCAGGACUCAAACCCAGGUAUUCCAAUCUGGCGUGCAGGUGUCCCAAGCGGCAUCGUAACUGCUACACCGUAUGCCUGCCCCUCCUCCCCACCCCAUAUCUUCAUUUUAUAGGGUAGGAAAUUGAGGUUCAGAAUUUCAAGUGAUUUCCUAAGCAUUCAGCUGGUGGGGACAGAGCUGAGUCUUAAGUUCUUCCCAUAUAUAUAUAGGGUGUGGGUUUACCAUGGCUUCACUACCCAUACCACCAAGAGUUUGCUUUCCCAGUUUUAAUUUGGUAAACUGAAAAAUCAGAUAAAAUAGCUGUAUUCUCCCAAUUCUAUUUGAUUUCCUUACAAAACUAUUAUCGAUGCCAGUAUGAACCUGUCCAAACACAGGUCAGAGUGUAAUUAUAUUAUGGUACAGUGUGAUGUUACUCAAUCUUAGACUAUACCCAUUGUGAUUGGGUUCAGGUCAAUUCCAAAACCAGAGUAACUUGUUCAUUUCUCUCUUAGACAGAGUCUUGAGGUGAAUAUUAAGGGGUGGGUGUGGCCCUGCACCACAGUUCUCGGGGACCCAGGCACUGUCCUACCACCCCAAGACAGACCCUCCUCCAAGGUGGCAGCUAGUGCAGCAGUCAUCAUAUCUACAUUCCAGGUAGCAGAGUAGAGGGAAGAAUGAGCAGAGAAGCAGAGAGAACAGGUAAGCUCCCUUUGGGGGAGAGUUUCAGGAACUGUGUGGACCUCACUUUACAUCUCCCUGAACAGAACUGUCACAAGACAAACUUAGCCACAAGGGGCACUGAGAAAGGUGCUUUUAUGUUAUUACUAUUACGGCGUCCUCGCCCUGAUAUGAUGUUAUGACUGUGGCAGAAGGAGAGAAAGUACACAAACAGCCAGCGGCUUAGGGCCCCCAAGGCAUCAACAGUAAGAGUGGGUUAACACUUCUAUCCCAUGAGGUGAGUGACAGCCAAGGAUCUAGCAGGGGAUUUGGGAGAACAGCAUGGGGGCUCGGUAAGGGUUAAUUCCCUUACAUUUUUUUUUUUUUUUGACAGAUAGAGCCAGACAGUGAGAGAGAGAGAGACAGAGAGAAAGGUCUUCCUUCCGUUGGUUCACUCCCCAAAUGGCCACCAUGGCCAGCGCUGCGCUGAUCCAAAGCAAGGAGCCAGGUGCUUCUUCCUGGUCUCCCUUGUGGGUGCAGGUGCCCAAGCACUUGGGCCAUCCUCCACUGCCUUCCCAGGCCACAGCAGAGAGCUGGACUGGAAGAGGAGCAACUGGGACUAGAACUCGGCGCCCACAUGGGAUGCUGGCGCUGCAGGCGGAGGAUUAACCAAGUGAGCCACGGUGCCAGCCCCUCCCUUACAUUUAAGAUUAGAUUCUGCUGACUUCCUUCCAUUCCUGGCUUCACAAGAAGCUGUCAAGUGCAGACAGCAAGAUCACAAAAAUAAUGUACAUUUUCUGAUUUGCAAAAAAACAAAAGCAUUUCUAAGUAAACCAAUUAAAAGACAGACUAGAAAAAAACAUAAACAAGGAAGACUCAGGGGCUGGUGUUAUAGCAUAUGGGGUUAAGCUGCUGCCUGUGGUGUAGGCAUCCAUUAUGGGCACCCCUUUGAGUCCUGGCUGCUCCAGUUCCGAUCCAGCUCACUGCUUGGGCCCCUGCCACCGACGUGGCAGACCUGGAUGGAGUUCCAGGCUCCUGGCUUCAGCCUGGCCCAGUCCUGACCAUUGUGGCCAUUUGGGGAGUGAACUAUCUCUUAAAAAAAGGAAGACUCAGCUAUAUGCUGCCUAAAAGAAACCCACUUCAAAUAGAAAGACAAGUCAAAUGGAUGUUCUAUGCUAACACCUGUCAAAAGAAAACAGAGGGUCUGUCCUCAUUAUCAGACAAAGUGGACCUCAAGGACGGGAGUUUGGCUCAGUGGCAAACGCACUGCUUGGGACCCCCACCUCCCAUACCAGAGUGCCUGCCCAGAGUCCCAGUUCCUCCACUUCUGGUCCAGCUCCCUGCUGAUGGGUACACUGAGAGGCAGCAGAUGAUGCCUCGAGUACAUGGGUCCCUGCCCUGGGCUGCGUUCCAGGUUCCUGGCUUUAGCCUGGCCCAUCUCUGGCUGUUGUGGGCAUUUGGAGAAUGAAUCAGUAGAAGGAAGGUCUCUCUCCAUCUUUCUCACUGUCUCUCUGCCUUUUGAAUAAAAUGAAAAUCUUUAAAACUUUAAAAAUAAUACUUCUUAAAAAAGAAUUAUUUAUUUUGAAAGAGUUGCAGAGAGAGGUGGAAAGAAACAGUGAGCGAGAUCUUCCAUCUGCUGGUUCACUACCCAGAUGUCUGCAAUAGCCAGGGCUGAGCCAGCUUCACCCGGGUCUCCUACAUGGGUGGCAGGGACCCAAGCACUUGGACCAUCUUCAGCUGCUUUUUCCCCAGGCCAUUAGCAUGGAGCUGGAUCUGAAGUGGAGAAGCUGGAACACAAAUAGGCACCCAUGUGGGAUGCCGGUGUCACAAGCAGUAGUUUUACUCACCAUGCCACAAUACUGGCCCCCAAUAAAACAUUUGUUUAAUAAGUAGACUUUGAGGGGCUGGUGCUGUAGCACAGCAGGUUAACGCCCUGGCUCCCUGUCUCUCCUCUCUCUGUGUAACUCUGACUUUUGAAUAAAUACAAUAAAUCUUAAAAAAAGAUUCGAAAGACAGAGUUACAGAGAGAGAGUAGAGACAGAGAGAGGUCUUCCAUCCAUUGUGUUCACUCCCCAGAUGGCCAAAACGGCUGGAGCUGCACCGAUCCAAAGCCAGGAGCCAGGAGCUUCCUCUGGGUCUCCCACGUGGGUGCAGGGCCCAAGGACAUGGGCCAUCUUCUACUGCUUUCCCAGGCCAUAGCAGAGAGCUGGAUUGGAAGAGGAGCAGCCGGAACUAGCACCGGCACCCAUAUGGGAUGCCGGCACUUCAGGCCAGGCCUUUAACCUGCUGUGCCACAGUGCCGACCCCAUAAAUAAAUCUUUAAAAAAAACAUAGACUUUGACCAAGGAAUAUUGCUAGAGAUGAAGGUGGCACUGCAGUAUGAGAAAGGGGGCCAAUUUACUGAAGAGAUUUAACAGUAGCAAACAUCUAUGUGCUUAACAAUAGAGCUCCAAUACAUGGGAGGCAAAAGCUGACCCAACAAAUCCUUAGUUGUGGUUGAAAACUCCAGCAUUCCUCCCAGUAGCUGUAGAACAAGAAGGGAGAAAAUUAGUGGGAUGCAGAACCAAACAACCUACACCAACCUGACCCAACUCACAUUUACAGAGCAACCGUCCAAAAGCAACAGAAUCCCACUGUUUUCAAAUGCACGUGGAAGAGUCAGCAAAACAGAUCAUAUUCUGGGCCACAAAACAAACCUCCACAAAUCUAAAGGACUUAAAUCACACAAAGUAUUUUUGGACUAUAAUAGAACUAGUCUCUAAACCUGUUACCAUGAAGAGUUAAGAAAACUGCAUAUUUGGAAAUUGAACAUACUUCUCAAUAGUGCAUGGAUCAGAGAGGAAAUCCCAAGAUAAAUUAUAAAAUAGAAGUUGACUGAAAAUUAAAAACAAAAUCUGAAAGAUUCAAAAUCUUCUCUCAUCAGCAGAGUUGAACCUUUUUGUGCAGCUUGCCCAGGAAGGGGCAGGUUAAGCUGCUGCUUGCGAUACCAGCAUCCCAUAUUAGAGCACUGGUUUCAGUCCCAGUUGCUCUGCUUCUGAUCCAGCUCCCUGCUAAUGAGCCUGGAAAACAACUGAAGAUUGUUCAAGUGCUUGUGCUCCUGCCACCAAUCCAUCAAAAACCUACCAAGCACUGUCACAGUAAUCUGUUAGUAAGGUGGGGAGUAUUAUCUGAAAAAAGCCUUGAAUCAAGUCUACUGUCAAAAAUAUUUUUGUGGCAAUGUAUCUUUGUGUAUACUGAUUUUCUUGCAAAAUAGAUCGCCCAGGCAAAAUACCAUCCAGGAAUCACCUGCCUCUCUUAUAGACAAAUGAUAUCAGUUCUGGUCUGAGAAAAAAUUCACCCCAGUGAUGUCAGCUGCCAUGAUUACAUUGUACUCCAGUAAAUGUAAUUUGCUAAAGUCAUUUUAGCUUCUGUCCCAAACAGGUGCUUAC